RNAcentral lists this ribosomal RNA (497 nucleotides) under uncultured bacterium. RNAcentral describes it as "partial 16S ribosomal RNA". It matches the Rfam family "Bacterial small subunit ribosomal RNA", at positions 28 to 507 of the family's 1533-position model. The record is from RNAcentral.
GAUGAACGCUGGCGGCGUGCCUAAUACAUGCAAGUCGAGCGAACAGACGAGGAGCUUGCUCCUCUGACGUUAGCGGCGGACGGGUGAGUAACACGUGGAUAACCUACCUAUAAGACUGGGAUAACUUCGGGAAACCGGAGCUAAUACCGGAUAAUAUAUUGAACCGCAUGGUUCAAUAGUGAAAGACGGUUUUGCUGUCACUUAUAGAUGGAUCCGCGCCGCAUUAGCUAGUUGGUAAGGUAACGGCUUACCAAGGCGACGAUGCGUAGCCGACCUGAGAGGGUGAUAGGCCACACUGGAACUGAGACACGGUCCAGACUCCUACGGGAGGCAGCAGUAGGGAAACUUCCGCAAUGGGCGAAAGCCUGACGGAGCAACGCCGCGUGAGUGAUGAAGGUCUUCGGAUCGUAAAACUCUGUUAUUAGGGAAGAACAAAUGUGUAAGUAACUAUGCACGUCUUGACGGUACCUAAUCAGAAAGCCACGGCUAACUACGUG